UACGAAAGGUGCAAGCGUUACUCGGAAUCACUGGGCGUAAAGCGCGCGUAGGCGGUCUUGUAUGUCGAUUGUGAAAGCCCUGGGCUCAACCUAGGAACAGCAGUCGAAACUGCAAGACUUGAAUGUUGGAGAGGGUGGGGGGAAUACCUAGUGGAGAAGUGAAAUUCGUAGAGAUUAGGUGGAACACCAGAGGCGAAGGCGCCUGCCUGGCCAAACAUUGACGCUGAGGCGCGAAAGCGUGGGGAGCAAACAGG
This 254-nucleotide ribosomal RNA is filed under the name uncultured bacterium. RNAcentral's name for it is "partial 16S ribosomal RNA". It matches the Rfam family "Bacterial small subunit ribosomal RNA", at positions 524 to 776 of the family's 1533-position model. The record is from RNAcentral.